CAAGACAAAUUCAUGUUUUAGUACGUUUGAUAAUCUACUGUGAGUUUUUCCCUUUUAAUUUUCUCUUUAUGCUUCAGAUAUCUUAAAAAUAAAUAUUCGGCACAUGUUUGGUAGAUCAUUAUGUUAAGAUGAUAUUCUGUGAUUCCUGGAUUUUAUUAAAAGUUAUAUGCUAAGCGUUUUCUUUAUCUACAUAUAUGUUGUCUACGUCAUGUUCAGGACUCAUUUUCGUUUAGAAAAUCAUGUUUACUGAAAGUUUUGUUCUGCUCAUAGGCUAGUCAAAUGACUUGUUUAUAGAUACCAUACUACAACAACAACCCGUAUAAUCCCACUUAAUAAGGUCUAAAAGGGUAGUGUGUAUGCAGACCUUACCCAUACCCUUGGGUAGAGAGGCUGUUUCCAAAUAGACUCCGGCAUCCUUCCGUUCAAGAACUUCCCAUCUUGCUCUUGGGGAGACUCGAACUCACAACCUCUCGAUUAGAAGUGGGGAGACUCGAACUCACAACCUCUCGAUUAGAAGUGGGGGUUGCUUACCAUCAGAGCAACCCUUCUUCUCUAUAGAUACCAUAUUACAUGUCCCAAUAUUUAGCAAAGAGUUUUUAAGAGACCAUUCUUUUGACAGAGUUCAUGUCCAAUUACCACAAGUAUGCGAAAUCCUUUAUGCCAAAAUACUGUUUUGUUUUUCGUCUUUUAAAGAGUAUGAUAAUUUCGUGAUAAUCUAAAUAUUAUACGUAGGUUUUCUUUGAAUAAUAAUAGAUUUCAAAAACAGUAGAUCAUUGGCUUCGAAUAAUAUAAAAUGCUCUGUAGUUUAUUAUUCGGAUUCAUUGAACCGUAGAGAAGUGUGCCUAUAGUUUUGAACUAAUUAGUAACUCAUUCUUUGAUCUUGAACUAUGGAAAUAGUCUAAUAUUUAUCACUAAGUGCUGAAUGGAUAUUGUUGGGUUGUUAACAUAUUAUUAGUUUGUAUCUUUCAUCGUAAUCACGACUACAAAACGAGUUGCUGUCCUAUUUGAUAACUUUGUUGUUUUAACAUGAAUAUGCAUCUGAUAUUUAGCAUAGCACAUCAAAAAUUCUAUCUUUAGGAAGACAACCCAUAUUUGUCGUUGGUUUAUCUGCUGGCCGUCCACUAGUACGGCAAGUUGUCUAGGCAUAGCAUGUUCCAAAUUCACAUGUUGCUAAGUGCUAAACUUAAAGUAGCGAGAAAAAGAUUGGAGACAAUUGUGGACUAUAAUAGGGAUGUAUUUUGGGAGUUUGUAUUGAAAAGAGAUAGGCAAUUUGUUGAAUCCGAGGAACCUAAAUGGAUAUACAUUCAUAAAAGUCAGUCACCUGUUAAAUGUAUUCUUGGCGAAAUGUUUUAUUUUUCUUUGGCUAUUACUCUUUCUCGUUUUGCUAACUCUUGGAAUCUGGAUCAAACCCACCAUGUGUGUUAAGGCUCAAAUUGAAUGGUCAUUCCAAACUAAUAUGGCAUACGAGAAAGUGCUUAGAUACAAAAAAUCAGAAGCUCCCAAAAGUUGAGAGAGAUCUCAUAAGAUAAUAGUCAUAAAUUGGGAAAAUGACUUAAGGGACAGUGGCAUAAGAUUAUCCUCAACUUAAGGCGCACCUACUCUUACUAGAAGUCUAGUGUCUCUCAGGUCCAGUUUCGAUCUCUUUGUGCUCGUGUUGCAUAUUAUUUGGAAUCUUUGUGUGAAAUUUGUGCCUACUAUGGGAAAAUAUGUGAGACAAUUAGGAUUUCUGAGUUAUGCGCAUGUGAUAUAUAUGUACGAUGGAUCGUCCGGCGUGAUUCUUUACUUUAAAGUGUGAGCAUUCUAUUUUAGUAUGUUGAUUAAACUCUUAAAG
Molecule: long non-coding RNA, 1831 nt
Filed under: Nicotiana benthamiana
Lineage: Eukaryota; Viridiplantae; Streptophyta; Magnoliopsida; Solanales; Solanaceae
Description: long non-coding RNA (NBEN_LNC032314)
Source: RNAcentral